Molecule: long non-coding RNA, 347 nt
Organism: Lycium ferocissimum
Lineage: Eukaryota; Viridiplantae; Streptophyta; Magnoliopsida; Solanales; Solanaceae
Exons: 3
Source: RefSeq, a predicted model, not a curated record
UCUCUAUGUAGACCUCACUAUACUAUUUUCCAUCAAUUUGAUACCAAAAGCAGCGACACUCUUUUUCUUUUUCUCCUCAAGGUUCCACCCUCAUAACAAAAACAAAAAAAUUAUCUUUCACCUUCCGCUUCCAAGACUCUUGCUAGCAUUGUGAAUUCUGUUGAGAAGUGAAUAAGCAACUGAAAGGAAGAAGAUAAUUCUUGGGCUGUUGACAUCGAAUCGCUUUGGUGCUAACACUUACCCCUAUAAACCGCAAAAUGCAGUUCAAAGUGAGCUUAUUGUCCUUUUUACAUGCUGUAGCAUUUUCUGAACGAGAUUAAUCUCGGUUUAAUAAACAAGUCUAUCAU